RNAcentral lists this ribosomal RNA (253 nucleotides) under uncultured bacterium. RNAcentral describes it as "partial 16S ribosomal RNA". It matches the Rfam family "Bacterial small subunit ribosomal RNA", at positions 524 to 776 of the family's 1533-position model. The record is from RNAcentral.
UACGAAGGGGGCUAGCGUUAUCCGGAUUUACUGGGCGUAAAGCGUGUGCAGGCGGUUUAGUAAGUGGGGUAUGAAAUCUCCGCGCUUAACGUGGAGGGGUUAUGCCAGACUGCUGAACUCGAACCCAUCAGAGGGACGUGGAAUUCCGGGUGUAGCGGUGAAAUGUGUAGAGAUCGGGAGGAACACCGGUGGCGAAGGCGGGUCUCUGGGCAUUUCCUGACGCUGAGGCGCGAAAGCGUGGGGAGCAAACGGG